CAGCCGCCGCGGGAAUACGGAGGGGGCUAGCGUUGUUCGGAAUUACUGGGCGUAAAGCGCACGUAGGCGGCUUGGUAAGUUAGAGGUGAAAGCCUGGAGCUCAACUUCAGAAUUGCCUUUAAGACUGCCGAGCUAGCAGGUGAGAGAGGUAAGUGGAAUUCCGAGUGUAGAGGUGAAAUUCGUAGAUAUUCGGAAGAACACCAGUGGCGAAGGCGGCUUACUGGCUCAUACUGGACGCUGAGGUGCGAAAGCGUGGGGAGCAAACAGGAUUAGAUACCCGGGUAGUCCCUGUCUCUUAUAC
Molecule: ribosomal RNA, 301 nt
Filed under: uncultured bacterium
Lineage: Bacteria
Description: partial 16S ribosomal RNA
Rfam family: Bacterial small subunit ribosomal RNA
Source: RNAcentral